UUAAUUGAAGCCAAAUAGAGGCAUAUUACUGUUAAUAAUAUCAAUGAACCAAAUAUUCCAAUUAAA
This 66-nucleotide transfer RNA is filed under the name Mekongiella xizangensis. RNAcentral's name for it is "tRNA-Asn". Lineage: Eukaryota; Metazoa; Arthropoda; Insecta; Orthoptera; Pyrgomorphidae. The record is from RNAcentral.